This 253-nucleotide ribosomal RNA is filed under the name uncultured bacterium. RNAcentral's name for it is "partial 16S ribosomal RNA". It matches the Rfam family "Bacterial small subunit ribosomal RNA", at positions 524 to 776 of the family's 1533-position model. The record is from RNAcentral.
UACGGGGGGGGCAAACGUUGUUCGGAAUUACUGGGCGUAAAGGGCUCGUAGGUGGCCAACUAAGUCAGACGUGAAAUCCCUCGGCUUAACCGGGGAACUGCGUCUGAUACUGGAUGGCUUGAGUUUGGGAGAGGGAUGCGGAAUUCCAGGUGUAGCGGUGAAAUGCGUAGAUAUCUGGAGGAACACCGGUGGCGAAGGCGGCAUCCUGGACCAAUACUGACGCUGAGGAGCGAAAGCCAGGGGAGCAAACGGG